CAGUAGCCGCGGGAAUACGGAGGGUGCAAGCGUUAUCCGGAUUUAUUGGGUUUAAAGGGUCCGUAGGCGGACUUAUAAGUCAGUGGUGAAAGCCUGUCGCUUAACGAUAGAACUGCCAUUGAUACUGUAAGUCUUGAGUAUAUUUGAGGUAGCUGGAAUAAGUAGUGUAGCGGUGAAAUGCAUAGAUAUUACUUAGAACACCAAUUGCGAAGGCAGGUUACCAAGAUAUAACUGACGCUGAGGGACGAAAGCGUGGGUAGCGAACAGGAUUAGAUACCCAGUAGUCCCUGUCUCUUAUACA
RNAcentral lists this ribosomal RNA (301 nucleotides) under uncultured bacterium. Its description in RNAcentral is "partial 16S ribosomal RNA". It matches the Rfam family "Bacterial small subunit ribosomal RNA", at positions 509 to 808 of the family's 1533-position model. The record is from RNAcentral.